CUUAAUAAUUUAAUUAUUAACCUUUCAUCCAUUCCGAACUAAGAAGUGAAACGCAUUUGGGGCGAAAAUACUGAAAGGGAGGCUUUUUGGGAAAAUAGUUUAAUGCUAGGUA
This 112-nucleotide ribosomal RNA is filed under the name Prototheca cutis. Lineage: Eukaryota; Viridiplantae; Chlorophyta; Trebouxiophyceae; Chlorellales; Chlorellaceae. The record is from RNAcentral.